GGCAGAGGAUGCAAGCGUUAUCCGGAAUGAUUGGGCGUAUAGCGUCUGUAGGUGGCUUUUUAAGUCCGCCGUCAAAUCCCAGGGCUCAACCCUGGACAGGCGGUGGAAACUACCAAGCUGGAGUACGGUAGGGGUAGAGGGAAUUUCCAGUGAAGUGGUGAAAUGCGAUAGAUAUUGGAAAGACCACCAUGGCGAAGGCACUCUACUGGGCCACUACUGGCA
Molecule: ribosomal RNA, 222 nt
Filed under: uncultured bacterium
Lineage: Bacteria
Description: partial 16S ribosomal RNA
Rfam family: Bacterial small subunit ribosomal RNA
Source: RNAcentral